GAACCGGGACUGUUGUUUGGAAACCGCAACAAGCAAAUCAAAGAAGAAGUAUUGUUAUCUUCAAAUUGAGUUAAAGAAGGAGCACUCUUCAAGCUCUUCAGUAUCAGUGAGAGUUCUUGUGACAGCAGGACGUGCAAAGCAUAUUAACACCGCGUGUUCAGAAGGCAAUCCAUCACCAACCCUUCAUGUUGUGGAUUCUGAAAAUGUGGUAGUUUCAUGUGAUGGAGUCCUACCAAGCCAUAAUGUGACAGUUACCGUAUCUGCGUCAUAUCUUGAACAAUUCGCUACCGCCUCGAUGAUCAUAAAAACAAGUAAGAAAUCUCAUUUUUACACGACUUUGAUAUAAUGAUGAUGGUAAUGGCGAUGUUUAUCAUCAUCAUGAUGAGGAGCUAAGCGGUUGGCUGAGAGGUAUUUUUCCUGCUUCGCUGAAGACCCCGGUUCAAGCCCUGCCAGCGUCGGGUUUUAAUUGGAGUCUGAUCGAAUUGAAUAACCCUCAUUGAGAUUUAGGCGGGCGAAGGACAAUUGUAUCCGUUUAUAUUCGUUAUAAAAUCGGUACAGGCUUUCCUCUUAGGUUUCGGAAUGUGUUUGUUAGUUGAACGGAUGGAAAUGAUUUGUAUUAAUGCAAAAAAAAAA
Molecule: long non-coding RNA, 633 nt
Organism: Anneissia japonica
Lineage: Eukaryota; Metazoa; Echinodermata; Crinoidea; Comatulida; Comatulidae
Exons: 2
Source: RefSeq, a predicted model, not a curated record